UACGUAGGGAGCGAGCGUUGUCCGGAAUUACUGGGUGUAAAGGGAGUGUAGGCGGGAUGGCAAGUUAGGUGUGAAAUGCGGAGGCUCAACCUCCGAGCUGCACUUAAAACUGCUGUUCUUGAGUGAAGUAGAGGCUGGCGGAAUUCCCAGUGUAGCGGUGAAAUGCGUAGAUAUUGGGAGGAACAUCAGUGGCGAAGGCGGCCAGCUGGGCUUUUACUGACGCUGAGGCUCGAAAGCGUGGGGAGCAA
Molecule: ribosomal RNA, 248 nt
Filed under: uncultured Ruminococcus sp.
Lineage: Bacteria; Bacillati; Bacillota; Clostridia; Eubacteriales; Oscillospiraceae
Description: partial 16S ribosomal RNA
Rfam family: Bacterial small subunit ribosomal RNA
Source: RNAcentral